RNAcentral lists this unclassified non-coding RNA (20 nucleotides) under Chlamydomonas reinhardtii. RNAcentral's name for it is "small RNA Cre_1410". Lineage: Eukaryota; Viridiplantae; Chlorophyta; Chlorophyceae; Chlamydomonadales; Chlamydomonadaceae. The record is from RNAcentral.
CGUGUCCAUGGCCGACGCCA